CAAACAAGCCAAAAGACAACGGGAAGCCAAACAGUUAAAUAUAUAUAUAUAUUUUUCGGAUUUUAAUUACAGAUGGAUGCGGACUCAGUCCGCGACAAGCAGAUCCUAUCUAAAGCUGCGCCUCCAAAUCUGCAAUGCGGGCGCGGACAUCUUCCAGCCUCUCUAAGAGCUCCGCUCUUUCUUCCCGGGCUGCCUCCAGACGCGCCGCCACCGUAGCCUCCACCGCCGGUUCCGGGCGAUC
RNAcentral lists this long non-coding RNA (241 nucleotides) under Daucus carota (carrot). Its description in RNAcentral is "long non-coding RNA (DCAR_LNC001346)". Lineage: Eukaryota; Viridiplantae; Streptophyta; Magnoliopsida; Apiales; Apiaceae. The record is from RNAcentral.